Molecule: ribosomal RNA, 427 nt
Filed under: uncultured bacterium
Lineage: Bacteria
Description: partial 16S ribosomal RNA
Rfam family: Bacterial small subunit ribosomal RNA
Source: RNAcentral
UGGGGAAUAUUGCACAAUGGGCGCAAGCCUGAUGCUGCCAUGCCGCGUGUAUGAAGAAGGCCUUCGGGUUGUAAAGUACUUUCAGCGGGGAGGAAGGUGUUGAGGUUAAUAACCUCAGCAAUUGACGUUACCCGCAGAAGAAGCACCGGCUAACUCCGUGCCAGCAGCCGCGGUAAUACGGAGGGUGCAAGCGUUAAUCGGAAUUACUGGGCGUAAAGCGCACGCAGGCGGUCUGUCAAGUCGGAUGUGAAAUCCCCGGGCUCAACCUGGGAACUGCAUUCGAAACUGGCAGGCUAGAGUCUUGUAGAGGGGGGUAGAAUUCCAGGUGUAGCGGUGAAAUGCGUAGAGAUCUGGAGGAAUACCGGUGGCGAAGGCGGCCCCCUGGACAAAGACUGACGCUCAGGUGCGAAAGCGUGGGGAGCAAACA